Molecule: long non-coding RNA, 421 nt
Organism: Pollicipes pollicipes
Lineage: Eukaryota; Metazoa; Arthropoda; Thecostraca; Pollicipedomorpha; Pollicipedidae
Exons: 4
Source: RefSeq, a predicted model, not a curated record
GCCUGGCCGACUUGAUGGUCAGCUGGCCGCAGUGCAGACCCAGGUUCGAGGAGGCUGUGCUACUGUCGCAGACGGUGAUCCGCACAGUAGCCACGCUUCGGAUGCCCGACCAGAGCGGCCCGAUCGCCACCUUCGUCAGCCAGAUGGAGCACGUUCAGCUGUUGUUCAAGGAGCUCUUCUCCAGCACGCAGACCUGUCAUCAGGUCUUGUGACGCGCUUUACGAGGUCAUGGCCGAUCCAGCGGUGCACACCAGCCCGGCACUGAGCGUGGUGCUGCAGGCUGUGCCGCUGAAGCUGAUCGGACCGGCCUGCUCCCAGCUGGUCAGCCUGCGCUCGGGCGACGGCGAGGCGACGGCUCGCGGGAUGGGCCUGCUCUGUGACUGGCUGCUGCUGUGGCCGCGGGCCGACCGGCUGGCUGUCU